GAUGAACGCUGGCGGCGUGCCUAAUACAUGCAAGUCGAGCGAACGGACGAGAAGCUUGCUUCUCUGAUGUUAGCGGCGGACGGGUGAGUAACACGUGGAUAACCUACCUAUAAGACUGGGAUAACUUCGGGAAACCGGAGCUAAUACCGUAUAAUAUUUUGAACCGCAUGGUUCAAAAGUGAAAGACGGUCUUGCUGUCACUUAUAGAUGGAUCCGCGCUGCAUUAGCUAGUUGGUAAGGUAACGGCUUACCAAGGCAACGAUGCAUAGCCGACCUGAGAGGGUGAUCGGCCACACUGGAACUGAGACACGGUCCAGACUCCUACGGGAGGCAGCAGUAGGGAAUCUGCCGCAAUGGGCGAAAGCCUGACGGAGCAACGCCGCGUGAGUGAUGAAGGUCUUCGGAUCGUAAAACUCUGUUAUUAGGGAAGAACAUAUGUGUAAGUAACUGUGCACAUCUUGACGGUACCUAAUAAGAAAGCCACGGCUAACUACGUG
Molecule: ribosomal RNA, 497 nt
Filed under: uncultured bacterium
Lineage: Bacteria
Description: partial 16S ribosomal RNA
Rfam family: Bacterial small subunit ribosomal RNA
Source: RNAcentral